CCUACGGGAGUCAGCAGUGGGGAAUAUUGCACAAUGGGGGAAACCCUGAUGCAGCGACGCCGCGUGAGUGAAGAAGUAUCUCGGUACGUAAAGCUCUAUCAGCAGGGAAGAAAAUGACGGUACCUGACUAAUAAACCCCGCCUCACUACGUGCCAGCAGCCGCGGUACUACGUAGGUGGCAAGCGUUAUCCGGAUUUACUGGGUGUAAAGGGGGCGUAGACGGCAGGACAAGUCUGGAGUGAAAUCCCGGGGCUUAACCCCGGAACUGCUUUGGAAACUGUGCGGCUGGAGUGCAUGAGCGGUAAGCGGAAUUCGUAGUGUAGCGGUGAAAUGCGUAGAUAUUAGGAGGAACACCGGUGGCGAAGGCGGCUUACUGGACUGUAACUGACGUUGAGGCUCGAAAGUGUGGGGAGCAAACAGGAUUAGAUACCCCUGUAGUC
This 440-nucleotide ribosomal RNA is filed under the name uncultured bacterium. RNAcentral describes it as "partial 16S ribosomal RNA". It matches the Rfam family "Bacterial small subunit ribosomal RNA", at positions 338 to 795 of the family's 1533-position model. The record is from RNAcentral.